RNAcentral lists this unclassified non-coding RNA (362 nucleotides) under uncultured bacterium. RNAcentral describes it as "contains 16S-23S intergenic spacer region". The record is from RNAcentral.
UCCGCCUUGGAGGCGGCAGUCUCUUGUGAAAAAGCAACACAAGAUGAGGGUUGCGCUCGUUGGCUGACUGAACAGUACACCUCAAGGCACGAGCUGACGACGACCGUGCAGCGCCUGUCUCAGGGUUCCUUGCGGCACUCCCGAAUUUCUUCAGGAUUCCCUGGAUGUCAAGUCUGGGUGAGGUGCUUCGCUUAUCAUCGAAUUAAACCCCAUGCUCCACCGCUUGUGUGGGUCCCCGUCUAUUCCUUUGAGUUUUAGCCUUGCGGCCGUACUUCCCAGGCGGCGGGCUUACCGCGUAAGCUGAGGCACGGGACCAGAUUGAAGGUCCCACACCGAGCCCGCAUCGUUGAGGGCGUGGACUA